ACUGUGGUGGUUCAAUGGUAGAAUUCUUGCCUUCCAUGUGUGAGACCUGGGCUCGAUUCCCAGCCAGUG
RNAcentral lists this transfer RNA (69 nucleotides) under Loxodonta africana (African savanna elephant). It matches the Rfam family "tRNA". Rfam says of the family: Transfer RNA (tRNA) molecules are approximately 80 nucleotides in length. Their secondary structure includes four short double-helical elements and three loops (D, anti-codon, and T loops). Further hydrogen bonds mediate the characteristic L-shaped molecular structure. tRNAs have two regions of fundamental functional importance: the anti-codon, which is responsible for specific mRNA codon recognition, and the 3' end, to which the tRNAs corresponding amino acid is attached (by aminoacyl-tRNA synthetases). tRNAs cope with the degeneracy of the genetic code in two manners: having more than one tRNA (with a specific anti-codon) for a particular amino acid; and 'wobble' base-pairing, i.e. permitting non-standard base-pairing at the 3rd anti-codon position. The record is from Rfam by way of RNAcentral. Lineage: Eukaryota; Metazoa; Chordata; Mammalia; Proboscidea; Elephantidae.